This 253-nucleotide ribosomal RNA is filed under the name uncultured bacterium. RNAcentral describes it as "partial 16S ribosomal RNA". It matches the Rfam family "Bacterial small subunit ribosomal RNA", at positions 524 to 776 of the family's 1533-position model. The record is from RNAcentral.
UACGAAGGGGGCUAGCGUUGCUCGGAAUCACUGGGCGUAAAGCGCACGUAGGCGGUCUUUUAAGUCAGGGGUGAAAUCCUGGAGCUCAACUCCAGAACUGCCUUUGAUACUGGGAGACUUGAGUCCGGGAGAGGUGAGUGGAACUGCGAGUGUAGAGGUGAAAUUCGUAGAUAUUCGCAAGAACACCAGUGGCGAAGGCGGCUCACUGGCCCGCAACUGACGCUGAGACGCGAAAGCGUGGGGAGCAAACAGG